Molecule: ribosomal RNA, 615 nt
Filed under: Naganishia uzbekistanensis
Lineage: Eukaryota; Fungi; Basidiomycota; Tremellomycetes; Filobasidiales; Filobasidiaceae
Description: eukaryotic LSU rRNA
Rfam family: Eukaryotic large subunit ribosomal RNA
Source: RNAcentral
AUAAGCGGAGGAAAAGAAACUAACAAGGAUUCCCCUAGUAACGGCGAGUGAAGCGGGAAGAGCUCAAAUUUGAAAUCUGGUAGCCUUCGGCUGCCCGAGUUGUAAUCUAGAGAAGUGUUUUCCGUGCCGGCCCAUGUACAAGUCCCUUGGAACAGGGCGUCAUAGAGGGUGAGAAUCCCGUCCUUGACAUGGACCCCCGGUGCUUUGUGAUACACUUUCAACGAGUCGAGUUGUUUGGGAAUGCAGCUCAAAAUGGGUGGUGAAUUCCAUCUAAAGCUAAAUAUUGGCGAGAGACCGAUAGCGAACAAGUACCGUGAGGGAAAGAUGAAAAGCACUUUGGAAAGAGAGUUAAACAGUACGUGAAAUUGUUGAAAGGGAAACGAUUGAAGUCAGUCAUGCUCUUUGGAUUCAGCCGUUCUGCGGUGUAUUUCCAUUGAGUGGGGUCAACAUCAGUUUUGAUCGCUGGAUAAAGGCACUAGGAAGGUAGCACUCUCGGGUGAACUUAUAGCCUAGCGUCAUAUACAGUGAUUGGGACUGAGGAACGCAGCAUGCCUUUAUGGCCGGGAUUCGUCCACGUACAUGCUUAGGAUGUUGACAUAAUGGCUUUAAACGACC